UCCAGACUCCUGCAGAUAUGCCAGGGCUUUCACCUCGCAGGCACUGGGCUAGUUUAUGUACAAUGACUGUGUUUAAGCCUCACAUGUGAGUUUCUAGGUUUUGUGUUCUUGCAGAGAAAGGCUGCACCGCCCUGAUUUCUAAGACACGGCAGUCAUGGUGCAUGGUGACUUAGAACACGUGGCCACAGUACUGGCCGGGGAGGCGGUGGAGGCAGGAAACGGGAGGAGCAGGGUCAGGACCGGCUGAGUCAGGACUUAGGGGCUCUCCCUGGACCCAGCAGGGUGCUGGGCUGCACUGGUGAGUACAGACAAUGAGGAUCUCUCACCUCCAUCACUGUGUUAAAUAUCAGGCCCUUAGCAGGAUAUCAUUUCUAUUAGUACUUUCCAAUUUUUGGAGGAAAAUGAAAAAAUUAAUUAGAAAGAAUUCAGAGAAGGCAAAGAUAAAGGUUUAAAAAAAAACCUGAAUAUAUGUCUCAUAAAGAAAGUUUAUAACUUGGACUCACUUAAGGUGGAAAAAAUAUUAACUCCAGGGGGUAAAUUCCUUUUUGUGUAUGGGCAUAAAGCUGUAUGGUUACUUUCCAUCUUUAAAGGAGAACAAAAUAGGAGAAGAAAAGCUUAAGGAAAAAUUUGUGAAGUGUUUACUGAAAAACAUUAAAAAAAAAAAAAAAGCUCACAAAGAGCUAAACUCGGGGCAACUUUGCCAUCUGAGUUUAACAGGAGGCUGCUCAGGUUCAACUGUCCGGAGGGAGACGCAGCCAGAUGUCACCGGGACACUACAGCGAAGUUCUGUAACUGCACCCUUUUUACUACGGGACUCAAGCUAUAGCAGGCCACAAAGAGACGGAGGGCCAGACAGACUGUUGAAGAAAUUCCAGCAAGUACAUUCGAAGUUGGAACAUCAAAAGGAGAACUAGAGUUCUAGAAUGCCCUAAUCAUAAUCUAGAAAUUACUUACUUUUUUAACACUUCAAGGAAAAAAACCUGAACUCUUGCUCUAGUUAGCUCUCCAGUUAUCUACAGGAGUAUUUUAAUAUAUUCCAGGAGGCCAAAGUAUUUUCUACGCAUCUCUUGUGAUGGAUGAAAACUAAACAAAAGGAACAGGUUAAAAAAUAAUCUCAGACACGCACAGACCUCCGAGGUUCCUAGCAGAGUCUCUGAGACCAGCACCAGCCCCGCCUCUGUCAUGUGCACAUGAUGGAUCCCUGACUCUCAGGCUUUUAUUCACACGGUACCACCUGAGGACUUUUCGGGUUAUGGAUUAUUUCUACAGGAAAUAUACACAUCUGUACAGUCAUUUCCAAGUAGAGAAUUAAUUUGGACUUGGCUCGAGUAAAAUUCUCUAACAUGUAUAUCAGGCUGCAGCACAAGGAUCUCCCGUGGGAGU
Myotis brandtii (Brandt's bat) is the source of this 1383-nucleotide long non-coding RNA. RefSeq lists it as uncharacterized. The record is from RefSeq and is a predicted model, not a curated record. The transcript has 3 exons. Lineage: Eukaryota; Metazoa; Chordata; Mammalia; Chiroptera; Vespertilionidae.